GACGUUUUGCCGUCGUCAUCACCUUCUCCACAUCGAAUCUUCACUGUCACCACCUUCUUACCGUCGACGUUUUGCCGUUGCCAUCACCUUCUCCACGUUGAAUCUUCACCGUCACCAUCUUCUUCUUACCGUCGACGUUUUGCCGUCACCAUCACCUUCAUCCCGUCGAAUCUUCACCGUCACCACCUUCUUCUUACCGCCGACGUUUUGCCGUCGCCAUCACCCCACGUCGAAUCUUCACCGUCACUACCUUCUUCUUACCGUCGACGUUUUGCCGUCGCCAUCACCUUCUCCACGUCGAAUCUUCACCGUCACCAUCUUCUUCUUACCGUCGACGUUUUGCCGUCGCCAUCACCUUCAUCCCGUCGAAUCUUCACCGUCACCAUCUUCUUCUUACCGUCGACGUUUUGCCGUCCCCAUCACCUUCAUCCCGUCGAAUCUUCACCGUCACCACCUUCUUCUUACCGUCGACGUUUUGCCGUCGCCAUCACCUUCUCCACGUCGAAUCUUCACCGUCACCAUCUUCUUCUUAAAGUCGUCGUUUUGCCGUCACCAUCACCUUCAUCCCGUCGAAUCUUCACCGUCACCACCUUCUUCUUACCGUCGACGUUUUGCCGUCGCCAUCACCUUCUCCACGUCGAAUCUUCACCGUCACCACCUUCUUCUUACCGUCGACGUUUUGCCGUCGCCAUCACCUUCCCCACGUCGAAUCUUCACCGUCAUCACCUUCUUACCGUCGACGUUUUGCCGUCGCCAUCACCUUCUCCACGUCGAAUCUUCACCGUCACCAUCUUCUUCUUACCGUCGACGUUUUGCC
RNAcentral lists this long non-coding RNA (817 nucleotides) under Volvox carteri. RNAcentral describes it as "long non-coding RNA (VCAR_LNC004120)". Lineage: Eukaryota; Viridiplantae; Chlorophyta; Chlorophyceae; Chlamydomonadales; Volvocaceae. The record is from RNAcentral.